This is a long non-coding RNA of Rosa chinensis, 1881 nucleotides long. RefSeq lists it as uncharacterized. The transcript has 8 exons. The record is from RefSeq and is a predicted model, not a curated record. Lineage: Eukaryota; Viridiplantae; Streptophyta; Magnoliopsida; Rosales; Rosaceae.
CAGAACUAACACUAGAAGAAACCUAAGAAACAGAGAGUGUUACAGGUGGCUAUGGUAAAAGCAUUGGCCAUGUAAUCAUUGGAUUAAAAACUGUCAAAGGAACCAAGCAACUUAAGUUGGAUCCCACUGCUUAUGACGCAUUGGUUAAGGAAAAGGUUGCUGUUGGUGAUAUUAUAUACAUUGAAGCAAACAGUGGGGCAGUAAAAAGGGUAGGCAGAGUUGAUGCAUUUACUGCAGAAUUCGAUCUUGAAGCAGAAGAGUAUGUUCCACUUCCAAAAGGAGAGGUUCACAAAGAGGAGAUUGUGCAGGAUGUAACUCUGCACGAUCUCAAGCGGGGCUAGACAUAUUAUCUCUAAUGGGUCCAAUGAUGAAGCCAAGAAAAACAGAAACUAUGGGCAAAUUGCGACAAGAAAUAAACAAGGUUAUGCAGGAACAAGAUACUGGUGUUGCUCUGCAUUUGAAGAGGCUUGUAAAAGAAACUUUUUUCCUUGAACUUUUCAAGAACCUUUGGCAGGAAGGAAUCCAUCCCAUUCCUUGAAUGUAGAUAGACUAGCAUUUUUCCGGGCGUUUAAAGACUGCUUUCCUUGGGCAUUGCAUAAUGUUUCAAGGUAUUGCAAUAGAGUGGAUUCCAUCAGUGAUUUUCGAGCAACUAUUGUUAAAAAUGUUCUGGUAAAGCUUUUGUGGCAAGAGUCCAUUUUCUCUAGUAGCUCACAAAAUAAGGAGCAAACAUCCCUGGGAUUAUCAGCAGAUUCAUGUGAAAUUGGUUUAGCUUCCGACAAGAAGACAGUUGAAACAUUGAAAAUUACGUACCCAAUGAGCUACUUUAGAGAGUUGGUAAACUGCAUUGUUGAGGUUCUUUCAGGCAUUUAUUUGCUGGAGCAUGAUUUGCUCUUAGCUUUCUCUGCAGAAUUUCAGGAGAAUUGUCAGAAUUUCUUUCAGCAUGCUAGUAACAUGGAAAGAGAAAGUGAGUAUGCCGAAUUAGUUAUUCAGUUUAUAUUGUUACUUGGAGAACAAGCAAUGCAGAAUGGUGAAAGUUGGCCUUUGGCUUCUGGAGUUGGACCAAUGGUGGAAGAUACAUUCCUGCAUGUGUUCAAAGCAAGUUUUGUUCGAUGGUGUCUCAGUGGGAGUAGUUGCUCCAUAAAUGCUUGUCUUGACCUGUUACUUGCAUUGCUUGACGAUGAAUAUUUCUCCGAGCAGCGAGAUAGUGUUAUCAGAUAUGAUACUAACCUGGAGCGUUCUGGAUGUGCAUCCUGUUUUUUAGAUUCUGACCGGAUAUUAUAUUCCAUCACAUUGACAUCUUUGAGCUGCUUAUGUAAGCUCGAAGUUCUGGACUGUCACUCUCAGGAUCCCUAUGAGAAACAAAAUCUGCUAGACCAACUUCUUUGUGAAGGUGAUGGAUGGCCUUUGCUAGUUCUGGAUUUCAGCAGGCCAGAGGGAUAAGUUGCCAGGGACAUCUCUGCUGACCAUGGGUCUUUUGGCUUGAGAUAUUUGUACACCCAACUGAAAGAUUUCACAAUUGGAUGCUUGAAUUCAUUAGACAGUGCCAAAAAAUUGUCCGAGUUGGAUCAAGAAGACAAGUUUCUCAACGUACUAUAUCCAAGUGGAAAGGAGUUAUGGAGACCACCUUCAAGAAGAAAUCGAUGAAUUCCGUGAUGAGUGGGCAGAAUUCGUUAGUGAUACGACUUGAGACUUCAGUUCUAUGCUUUAACCAUGUACCUAUAGUGAAGCUUCUUUAAUUUGUAGCAAAACUGCCUUUUCCAUUAUAUGACGGCUAGUAUAUUUUAGUUUCUUUUACUAUUGCAAAGUUUACUCAAGAAAUUUCAAUUGCAAAAGCAUUGGAAAUGUGAUUACUUGAAGUAAUUCUCUAUUAAUAUAUUGCAA